RNAcentral lists this long non-coding RNA (291 nucleotides) under Homo sapiens (human). RNAcentral describes it as "non-protein coding lnc-PARN-8:3". The record is from RNAcentral. Lineage: Eukaryota; Metazoa; Chordata; Mammalia; Primates; Hominidae.
CAUGCGGGGAGAACUCUAUGUGAAGGUGAAGGCAGAGAUGCUUCAUUAAGCCAAGGAAUGCCAAAGGUGGCCAGCAAACCACCAGAAACCAGGCAAGAUGCAUGGAACAGAUUCUGUCUCGUAGCUCUCAGAAGGAACCAACCCUGCCAUCGCACAUUGAUUUUGGACUUCUGGCUUCCAGAACUGUGUGGGUUUGUCAUCCAGCGAGGAGAUGAGGAGAAAGUGCUGGGCCACUCCACUGGAGAAAUUGGAGACCUUUCUUCUGGCUGUGUCUAGGGAGCCAAGAGAGUG